This 253-nucleotide ribosomal RNA is filed under the name uncultured bacterium. RNAcentral describes it as "partial 16S ribosomal RNA". It matches the Rfam family "Bacterial small subunit ribosomal RNA", at positions 524 to 776 of the family's 1533-position model. The record is from RNAcentral.
UACGUAGGGUGCGAGCGUUAAUCGGAAUUACUGGGCGUAAAGUGUGCGCAGGCGGCAGAGCAAGUCGAGUGUGAAAGCCCCGGGCUUAACUUGGGAAUUGCGCUCGAAACUACUUUGCUGGAGUGUGGCAGAGGAAGGUGGAAUUCCACGUGUAGCGGUGAAAUGCGUAGAGAUGUGGAGGAACACCAAUGGCGAAGGCAGCCUUCUGGGCCAACACUGACGCUCAUGCACGAAAGCGUGGGGAGCGAACAGG